UACGUAGGGUGCAAGGCGUUAAUCGGAAUUACUGGGCGUAAAGCGUGCGCAGGCGGUGAUGUAAGACAGAUGUGAAAUCCCCGGGCUCAACCUGGGAACUGCAUUUGUGACUGCAUCGCUGGAGUACGGCAGAGGGGGAUGGAAUUCCGCGUGUAGCAGUGAAAUGCGUAGAUAUGCGGAGGAACACCGAUGGCGAAGGCAAUCCCCUGGGCCUGUACUGACGCUCAUGCACGAAAGCGUGGGGAGCAAACAGG
This 254-nucleotide ribosomal RNA is filed under the name uncultured bacterium. Its description in RNAcentral is "partial 16S ribosomal RNA". It matches the Rfam family "Bacterial small subunit ribosomal RNA", at positions 524 to 776 of the family's 1533-position model. The record is from RNAcentral.